GUAGUAAUGUAGCUUGCCUCAUGGCAAACGGUCACAAGCCCGUAUAAAUACAGAGCGAUGC
Molecule: non-coding RNA, 61 nt
Filed under: unclassified sequences
Source: RNAcentral